This 500-nucleotide ribosomal RNA is filed under the name Halorubrum californiense. RNAcentral's name for it is "bacterial SSU rRNA". It matches the Rfam family "Archaeal small subunit ribosomal RNA", at positions 77 to 576 of the family's 1478-position model. Lineage: Archaea; Methanobacteriati; Methanobacteriota; Halobacteria; Halobacteriales; Haloferacaceae. The record is from RNAcentral.
CGUAGCAUAUAGCUCAGUAACACGUGGCCAAACUACCCUACAGACCGCGAUAACCUCGGGAAACUGAGGCCAAUAGCGGAUAUCACUCUCAGACUGGAGUGUCGAGAGUGAGAAACGUUCCGGCGCUGUAGGAUGUGGCUGCGGCCGAUUAGGUAGAUGGUGGGGUAACGGCCCACCAUGCCGAUAAUCGGUACAGGUUGUGAGAGCAAGAGCCUGGAGACGGUAUCUGAGACAAGAUACCGGGCCCUACGGGGCGCAGCAGGCGCGAAACCUUUACACUGCACGACAGUGCGAUAGGGGGACUCCGAGUGUGAGGGCAUAUAGCCCUCGCUUUUCUGUACCGUAAGGUGGUACAGGAACAAGGACUGGGCAAGACCGGUGCCAGCCGCCGCGGUAAUACCGGCAGUCCAAGUGAUGGCCGAUAUUAUUGGGCCUAAAGCGUCCGUAGCUUGCUGUGUAAGUCCAUUGGGAAAUCGACCAGCUCAACUGGUCGGCGUCCG